GGCCUCCAUCUUGAAAACGGAAAAUAAAAACAGCAGACCUAUGAAGGUCAAAGGGGAAGUUAAGAAAAGCUGUAUCGAUUGUUGAGAUCUGGCGACUUGCUUAAAUUUCAUCAGCCUCACUUCUAUGGACUCUCAGGCCUCACGUGUACCAGCUCUCUGCUCUCCUUUGCCUUGGGACGUUCCAUCCCUGGAAGUUUCCCUGCCCACAUCUUUGUAGAGAGUCCAUUCUCCAAGCUUCAGUGUGUCAUCUGUUAGGACUAUGACCCACCUGGUACAUUACCUCAGGGCAUUCAUUUCAGGCUCCUUCUAAGUGGUCAAGGAUCUUGGAAGCAGAGGGAUCUACAGAAGUGCUUGCAACAGUUUCAGCCUCAUCCAGCAUCAGAGACAAAAAUCUUUUCUGGAAUGAGGUAAACCUCAGGUUCUCCUCCUGCCUUUUGCUAAGUAUAUGUCUUGAUGACAAGCCUUCUGCUAAUGAGCUGUGUUUCUGGACCGAUCAUGGUAGAAGUCAAUUGAAGUGUCCCUCACUUGGGGUUUCUUAAGG
This 541-nucleotide long non-coding RNA is filed under the name Pongo abelii (Sumatran orangutan). RNAcentral's name for it is "lincRNA". The record is from RNAcentral. Lineage: Eukaryota; Metazoa; Chordata; Mammalia; Primates; Hominidae.